CUUCCUCUUUUUCUUUGUCACUCUUUCUGUCAGAGUACAACAACUGAGAAACAGAAGCAUUUAAAGUACGCCUAACAUCUGAAUCUAUCCACUGCUUAAAAACAGGACUUCUUGAUCUGUUCUGAGGUUGUUGUUAUGGCGGCAAUCCGGUUACUUCUGACUUUCCCAUUUGUAUCUGGUUUUUCUGAUUCUUGCCCGAAGAACCCAGACCUUUUCAUCACCACACCAGGAAACCUGUUAGCUCUGAGUGGAUCAUGUCUACACAUCCCAUGCAAUUUUUCAUCUAAAACAAGAGAAAGCUUUACAGGGGUAAACUACGGGGUAUGGUUUAUAAAGGAUCCUAGAUUUCAACGUUUUCCAAAUAACUUGAUUUUCAACAGCAGUGGCGCAGUAAAAGUGUAUCCACUAGAAAUUACAGGAAACCUGAUGGAGAAAAACUGCACAACUUUAUUUCACAAUUUAUCCAUGCAAUACUCAGAUAAAUACUUUUUCAGAAUUGAGAACUCGAUGUACAAGGCAACAGCUUCCUGCAGUCCGUGUCAAGUAACAGUAACAGAUUCUCCCUGGAGUCCCAGCAUUAAUAUCCCUGUUGGUGA
This is a long non-coding RNA of Cyprinodon variegatus (sheepshead minnow), 596 nucleotides long. RefSeq lists it as uncharacterized. The transcript has 4 exons. The record is from RefSeq and is a predicted model, not a curated record. Lineage: Eukaryota; Metazoa; Chordata; Actinopteri; Cyprinodontiformes; Cyprinodontidae.